This 252-nucleotide ribosomal RNA is filed under the name uncultured bacterium. RNAcentral's name for it is "partial 16S ribosomal RNA". It matches the Rfam family "Bacterial small subunit ribosomal RNA", at positions 524 to 776 of the family's 1533-position model. The record is from RNAcentral.
UACGGAGGAUGCGAGCGUUAUCCAGAUUUAUUGGGUUUAAAGGGUGCGUAGGCGGACGCUUAAGUCAGCGGUAAAAUUGCGGGGCUCAACCUCGUCGAGCCGUUGAAACUGGGUGCCUUGAGUGGGCGAGAAGUACGCGGAAUGCGUGGUGUAGCGGUGAAAUGCAUAGAUAUCACGCAGAACUCCGAUUGCGAAGGCAGCGUACCGGCGCCCAACUGACGCUGAAGCACGAAGGCGUGGGUAUCGAACAGG